UACGUAGGGUGCAAGCGUUAAUCGGAAUUACUGGGCGUAAAGCGUGCGUAGUCGGUUAUUCAAGUCGGGCGUGAAAGCCCCGGGCUCAACCUGGGAAUUGCGUCCGAUACUGUCUAGCUAGAGUUCGGCAGAGGGAAGUGGAAUUUCAGGUGUAGCGGUGAAAUGCGUAGAUAUCUAAAGGAACAUCAGUGGCGAAAGCGACUUCCUGGACCAGAACUGACGAUCAGGCACGAAAGCGUGGGGAGCAAACAGG
This 253-nucleotide ribosomal RNA is filed under the name uncultured bacterium. RNAcentral describes it as "partial 16S ribosomal RNA". It matches the Rfam family "Bacterial small subunit ribosomal RNA", at positions 524 to 776 of the family's 1533-position model. The record is from RNAcentral.